This is a long non-coding RNA of Vespa crabro (European hornet), 1153 nucleotides long. RefSeq lists it as uncharacterized. The transcript has 3 exons. Lineage: Eukaryota; Metazoa; Arthropoda; Insecta; Hymenoptera; Vespidae. The record is from RefSeq and is a predicted model, not a curated record.
CCCUUUUUAUCUCCUUUCCUCUCAUACAUACAUACAUACAUACAUACAUACAUACAUACAUACAUACAUUCGACAAGCACGUGAAACAAUAAUAUGAUCCUACGUUAUACGUUCGUAAACGAUCAAUAAAUAUAUCGUAUUCUCGAAAAAUAAAACAUUGUCUCUCUUAUAUUUGUCUGUUUUCUAAUCGACAAAUCUAAUCGAAAAAUCUGAUCACUUAUCUACUCGUUCUAUUCUUUAUUUACUAUCGCAUUAAUUUUAUCGUCGAACUUACGUACAUACACGUUCAUUCGUUCCUUCGCUCAUUCAUUUAUGUAUCACCUUCGAGUUAAGAGAGAGACGUAUCGAUAUGACUUUCGAGAAAUUUAAUUAAUUCAUAGCAUUAAUUAUUGCCUGAUAAUUAUUUUCCUUUCUUUUUUCUUUCUUUUUCCAUCUUCUUAUUUCUUCUUUCUUUUUUUUUUCUUUUUUUUUUUCAUUUUAUCUCCUUAUUACUUUUGAAUAUUUUCAUAAUCUCGAGAUUCCUCGAAAGCGUAAAAGUCAUGCGUAAUAUUUAUAUCGUACGUGUUUAUUUGCGUAUAUACGUGAGAUUGAUUUUACGUAUCGACAUUCGAUUUUGUAUUUACGAGAUAAUAUCGUUAGUCAACAUUGCGUGAAGGUUAAUUUCAUUCCAGUAUCGUCAGCCGAUCAGUAAGGACAUGCGACCGUACGUUUCUCUGUGAAAUAGAGAGAGAGAGAGAAAGAGCACAAGUCUCUCUGUCUCUCUCUCUCUCUCUUUCUCUCUCUUUCUCUCUCUUUUUCUUUCUUUCGAAGUGGCGCGUGUCGUCGUCUAAACAAUCAUCGAACUUUCUAAUCAUACGUUUCUUUUUGUCCGUAUUCGAACGAGAGAAACGAGUGAAUAAAUAAAGAGAGAGAGAGAGAGAGAGAGAAAGGGUAGGGGGAGGAAAGAGGGGAGGAGUGGUUCCUCCUGUUCUGAAUCUGGAAACGUGUAGUGUUUUCUAUCUAUUUCGAAAGUAAUAUGCCUGGCUAAAUAUUAUGAAUCAUGAGGAAGAGAGAAAAUGGAAAACAGAUUGGAAAUAAGGGAUGAACGAACGUAAAGAAAAGAAAAGGGGAAAAGUAAAAUGGCGAAGACAAAAAAUAUCGGGAAAACGAAACG